Molecule: ribosomal RNA, 433 nt
Filed under: uncultured bacterium
Lineage: Bacteria
Description: partial 16S ribosomal RNA
Rfam family: Bacterial small subunit ribosomal RNA
Source: RNAcentral
AACGAACGCUGGCGGCAUGCCUAACACAUGCAAGUCGAACGAGACCUUCGGGUCUAGUGGCGCACGGGUGCGUAACGCGUGGGAACCUGCCCUUAGGUUCGGAAUAACUCCCCGAAAGGGGUGCUAAUACCGGAUAAUGUCUUCGGACCAAAGAUUUAUCGCCUUUGGAUGGGCCCGCGUUGGAUUAGCUAGUUGGUAGGGUAAAAGCCUACCAAGGCGACGAUCCAUAGAUGGUUUGAGAGGAUGAUCAGCCACACUGGGACUGAGACACGGCCCAGACUCCUACGGGAGGCAGCAGUGGGGAAUAUUGGACAGUGGGCGGAAGCCUGAUCCAGCAAUGCCGCGUGAGUGAUGAAGGCCUUAGGGUUGUAAAGCUCUUUUACCCGGGAUGAUAAUGACAGUACCGGGAGAAUAAGCUCCGGCUAACUCCGUG